This 253-nucleotide ribosomal RNA is filed under the name uncultured bacterium. Its description in RNAcentral is "partial 16S ribosomal RNA". It matches the Rfam family "Bacterial small subunit ribosomal RNA", at positions 524 to 777 of the family's 1533-position model. The record is from RNAcentral.
UACAGAGGUCCCGAGCGUUGUUCGGAUUCACUGGCGUAAAGGGUGCGUAGGUGGCAUAGAAAGUUUGAUGUGAAAGCUCAGGGCUUAACCCUGAAAUGGGCAUUGAAUACUGCUGUGCUGGAGGUUUGGAGGGGGACUGGAAUUCUUGGUGUAGCAGUGAAAUGCGUAGAUAUCAAGAGGAACACCAGUGGCGAAGGCGAGUCCCUGGACAACACCUGACACUGAGGCGCGAAGGCGUGGGGAGCGAACGGGG